UUGGCUUUACYCGAAGMCGGUGCGCUAACCGCAAGGAGGCAGCCGKCCACGGUAAGGUCAGCGACUGGGGUGAAGUCGUAACAAGGUAGCCGUAGGUGAACCUGCAGAAGGAUCA
This 115-nucleotide ribosomal RNA is filed under the name uncultured eukaryote. Its description in RNAcentral is "partial small subunit ribosomal RNA". The record is from RNAcentral.